GUUCGCAAGGAGCAAUGCUUCUAACAUUAUGAACCAGAUUUUAAAGUUUGCAAAGAGGAUGGUUAGGAAACUACCUUUGAAAUGGCUGCUUGCUCAACAAGAAAUCCAGAAGUUGAAAGUGGAACAUAUCUAUUUACCAACCAAAGAGAUGAUCGCUUUAGUUCAGCGUUGUGGGGUCAAAAUAGAUGCCCAAAUGGUGCUACUUGAGUAUUUACACGACCUUGGCGAGAUUCUCUACUUUCCUGAUGACGACGCCUUAAAGGACAUUAUUGUUUUAAAUCUGAUGAAAAUAGUUGACAUGUUUAAAACAAUAAUAACCGUUAUUGAUCCAAAGUUUAUGGAAACAAAGCACAGAAAGGCCUGGAGAAGAUUGGACUCAGGGGUCCUAGAGGAGCAUCUGUUAAGACACCUCUGGAAGGACUUCAAUUUUUCAGAAGAGAUGUUUGACUUCUUUGUAUCUCUCAGUCUCAUGCAGAAAUUUGGACUGGGUGGUGAAUGUAUUUUCUAAGUUCUUUCGCGCUUGAAGCCUAAACGAAUAGAUGCCACUCAAACUAACAAUUACGGGAUUCGCACAGUUUCAAUCUUUCAUGACUGUGGUCGCUAUCUACCUGACGAUCUUUUCCAGCGUGGAGUAACUAAGUUCAUUGAGAGAUUCCAAGUAAAAGACGAUGAGCCUACAUUAUCUUAUGAGCAUGUGGAAUUGGGUUAUCUAUGAACUUCAUCACAUGGUUUUGAGUGUAGCCUCAAUCAAGCAUCGUUACAACAAUCAUCAGACGAAAAAUCUUCAAUGCCGCUCAGCUUACCCAGGAAGAUGAACCAUCGCCGAUAGUAUGUACGAAGGUGUUGAUAUUCCUCGAAACAGAACUAAAGAUAUUUUGUCAGAGCGGUGCAAGGGGCGUGGAAUUAACAAGGUACAUUGCUUGCGAUUGUAGGAACGCUCACAUGCAUAUUGCCAUGUGGAAGCAAUGGAAUGGAAGUGACGCGCUACCGCCGACUAUUUGAAGAUGAGGUCCAAC
This 1016-nucleotide unclassified non-coding RNA is filed under the name Anneissia japonica. RNAcentral's name for it is "uncharacterized LOC117100060, transcript variant X1". The record is from RNAcentral. Lineage: Eukaryota; Metazoa; Echinodermata; Crinoidea; Comatulida; Comatulidae.